AGCAUAUGUUCUUUUGGAGAUUAUUUCAAAAAAUUUAAACGGAAAAUCGCAACAGAAUUGGAACACUAACCGCCAUUAACUGCAUGAACUGACUUCGCUGAGUUCUUGGUUUUCCAACACCUCAUCAAUAGAUUCUUUGGUGAUUUCAAAGUUGAAACUAUUGUCUUCGAAAAAAGAAAGCUGUUUCGUACAAAACAAUGCACCUUUGCCGACACAGAGCCAAAUUCAGGCAAAUCAACAUGUUCAAACCUGUCGUAAUCAACAGCAGUGGCUGCCAUUACCUGUGACACGAUUUUUGUAAACAAAGCAGCAGUGCAAAGCACACGAUCGUAACAAACGAAGUGAUCCGAUUUUUUUAAACAAAGACAGUGCAAAGCAACGCGACUGAAACACACGAAGUGCAAAUUGUGAAAUAAAUUAAAUCAAAUUAGGCGUGUGAGCAAAUGCUAAAUAAAAUAAUAUAAAACGUGUAGUAAAAAGCAGGAAAGUGCAAAAUUAAUAAUACUAAAAGCGGCAGUUAUAAGUUUAAUACGAGAAAGCGAAAAUUAUUAUUAUUAUUAUUAAAUUUCAUAAUUAAAGUGAAUCGGGAAAAAUGAAGAGCACGUGCGUGAGUGUAAAAUGAAGAAAAAAUGAGAAAAUUGAAGUGCCUUUUGUUUUAAUGUAAAAGUAGUGAGCGUAGAGAAGUAAAAUAUAAAUGUGUAUAAGUUUUGUGCAAUAAAAUGAAGUGAAAUAGUGAAAAGUGUUUAGUAAAUUUCGUAGAAAAAUGAAAAUGUGUGUUAUUAAAAAGCAAGUGUGCUAAGAAAAGUAAAAAAGUGUUGUUGUGUGAGAGGCAAGAGGUAAUGUGUGUAUAGUGGAGAAAAAUAGAAGUUCAAAGCACGAGUUUAUAGCAACAAGUAUGAUAGAGAUCUACUUAAAGUUAACAGAAUCCACUUUGAUAAGCAGACUCCUAGCAGAGAACGU
Long non-coding RNA from Bactrocera tryoni, 960 nucleotides. RefSeq lists it as uncharacterized. NCBI's taxonomy places the organism in Eukaryota, Metazoa, Arthropoda, Insecta, Diptera, Tephritidae. The transcript is spliced from 4 exons. The record is from RefSeq and is a predicted model, not a curated record.